This 458-nucleotide ribosomal RNA is filed under the name uncultured bacterium. Its description in RNAcentral is "partial 16S ribosomal RNA". It matches the Rfam family "Bacterial small subunit ribosomal RNA", at positions 28 to 507 of the family's 1533-position model. The record is from RNAcentral.
GAUAAACGCUGGCGGCGUGCAUGAGACAUGCAAGUCGAACGAAGGAUCGGGCUUGCUCGAUCCUUAGUGGCGGACGGCUGAGUAACGCGUAGGUGACCUACCCCGAAGUGGGGAAUAACUGCCCGAAAGGGUGGCUAAUACCGCAUGUGGUCGCACGUUCAUUCGUGCGAGUAAAGCCGCAAGGCGCCUCGGGAGGGGCCUGCGUCCGAUUAGCUCGUUGGUGGGGUAAUGGCUUACCAAGGCGACGAUCGGUAGGUGGUCUGAGAGGACGAUCACCCAGACUGGGACUGAGACACGGCCCAGACUCCUACGGGAGGCAGCAGUCGGGAAUUUUGCUCAAUGGGGGAAACCCUGAAGCAGCAACGCCGCGUGAGGGAUGAAGGCCUUCGGGUUGUAAACCUCUUUUGUCAGGGACGAUGAUGACGGUACCUGGCGAAUAAGCCACGGCUAACUACGUG